Molecule: transfer RNA, 70 nt
Filed under: Phrynosoma platyrhinos (Desert horned lizard)
Lineage: Eukaryota; Metazoa; Chordata; Lepidosauria; Squamata; Phrynosomatidae
Description: tRNA-OTHER
Source: RNAcentral
GCCAGCAUGGUGUAGUGGUUUGUGCUGGACUGUGACUCUGGAGAUCAGGGUUUGAAUCCCUGCUCGGCCA